CGGACACUUGGGGUGAGAGUGAAUCGGGGAGAAAUACGCUUUGCACCUUCCAAGUCCUGCAGCUUGAUGUGUUGUGCCCUACCAAGGGUUGCAAAGGCCACGGCGUGCAGACAGAAAGAAGGGGAACCGGAGGAGCCACUGGUUGGAUCAGUUUCUGUCAGACUGCUGCAGAUCUGGUCUGGUGGCUUUUAUGUGAACAAGAACCUCUUCUUGUUCAAGGUAGCUCUUCUUGUUCACAGGUACGAAGCACGUAGAGACGCUUCCAGUGCAGUGGUAACAGUGCAUCAGGGGCACAGGAACCGCAGGUGUUUCCCAACAGGUAUACAGUCACAGCAUUUCCCUUCACAGCCAAGUGGUGAGGAUUGAUUCAACAGGGCCGAGAUUUGGCACUUGACUGUUCACCUGCAGUAUUGGGUAAUAACGCGAUAAGACGCGCCAUGAGUCACUGCGGCCAGAGGGGGCGAUAGUGCGGAGCUUCGUCCCGCACAGAGACGUCGGUCUUGAUCCUAAACACACACUAGGCGUACAUCGCGAUACACGACGCAGCGGCAAUCCCUCGUCUGUGUUUUAGUGCCGAUUGACUUUCAAGAGUGACAGCGAGCGACACAUUACAAUUCAGUACCGUGCACGAGAGGCCACGGCAGCCCGCCGGUCACAGCACCCAGCCCGUGGCAGGCGGCGUCGGCGUUGCUGCACCAUGCGACCGUUAGCAUCCGCGUUUAAAAAAGCUCCACCUUUUGACCGUUCUGGCGGAGUUUACACUCGCAGAAAUCGCGAGAAAGUCGGUCGGACUAAUUGGAGUUCGUCUCCGCGUGGCGCCCCAUUGACGGUUUCGAGUUUCGCCGACACUACUCACCUCGUAGUGCUUCAUCUUGACUGUACGAAGCCCCUUCCUUAAUACCCCCGGUGAGCAAUAGGGGCGGCGACCAAUCACAGCGAUAAUAUACGGCCGCUGAGGCCACAACCAGAAGGGCGACCACGUCAGCACCGCAGCCAAUCAGAACAGGCGAAAACCAGACGGACACGCCCCUUAGUCUCGACGCCGUAGCCAAUGAGAUUCGAGGAAGCGGAGAGGUCACGGUUACACCAGCAUAAUAGGAUUUUUUGGUGCUUACUUCAGAUCCGACUAAGAACUGCGCAGCUGUCCCUAUUUUCUCUCUUUACAACUGUAGAAAAUAAUUUGUCUGUGUCCUGACUUUCCAGCUUCACUUGCUGGCCAAUUGUCACUAAUGUCCUUUUUUUUCUGUCUCUCAUUUACAGUAGUUCAGCUCUACAUUGUCACUUUUCCCCACCGAUUUUGCACAUUUUGUUAUUUAACCUUUAAAUAGCUAAUUUGCUUUCAGUUGUUUCCUUGUGUAUGUCAUUCUACAAUAAUAAAGUUUGUCAUAUGCCCAGAA
Molecule: long non-coding RNA, 1397 nt
Organism: Scophthalmus maximus (turbot)
Lineage: Eukaryota; Metazoa; Chordata; Actinopteri; Pleuronectiformes; Scophthalmidae
Exons: 3
Source: RefSeq, a predicted model, not a curated record